RNA transcript from Ipomoea nil (Japanese morning glory), 2364 nucleotides. It is a transcript of the gene named beta-glucosidase-like SFR2, chloroplastic, with no coding region annotated. The record is from RefSeq and is a predicted model, not a curated record. NCBI's taxonomy places the organism in Eukaryota, Viridiplantae, Streptophyta, Magnoliopsida, Solanales, Convolvulaceae. The transcript is spliced from 11 exons.
UAUCUAGCUCCACUACACUACUAGUCUACUACAGCGUGUAACCGUAACGCCCACGGCUCUCGGGAAGCGGGAAUGGUGCUCGUCGGACUCUUCAUAUCGGCGACGAAGCUCGCCGGAGUCCUCGUGACGCUCUCGGUCGCCGCCAACGCUUUUUCCUACAACCAUUACCGCAAGAAGAAUCUCAAGCCUUUCUGUUCUCCCAUUGACGAGUCUUUCGAUACUCUCGCCGUCUUCGACGUUAAUCCUGCCGAAGGUGAGAAAGGGUUCUUCUUCGGAUUGGCAACUGCACCAGCACAUGUGGAAGACAGGCUUAAUGAUGCUUGGCUCCAGUUUGCUGAAGAGACUCCUUGUGAACAAUCAAAAUCAAAUAAUGAAUCCCAACUAGCAGAUGCACUAUUGGCCUCUGCUACAGGUGAUGGUGGCACCCAACAAGCUUCAGUACUACCAAGAACAGCUUCUCAGACCAUAAAAAGAAGGAAGUCACUUAAGAUAGCUAUGGAGGCAAAAAUUAGAGGAUUUGAGAAGUACAUAGAAGUAGAAGAAUCUGUGCCUGCCGAGGCAUGUCAUCAUACUGUUGCUGCCUGGCAUAAUGUUCCACACCCGGAGGAAAGGCUAAGGUUUUGGUCUGACCCUGACACAGAAUUGAAGCUGGCAAAGGAUACUGGAGUCCAAGUGUUUAGGAUGGGAAUUGAUUGGUCAAGGGUUAUGCCUGAAGAGCCCAAGAAUGGUUUAAAAGAAUCUGUCAACUAUGCAGCUUUGGAGAGAUAUAAAUGGAUUGUAAAUAGGGUGCGAUUUUAUGGGAUGAAGGUAAUGCUGACAUUAUUCCAUCACUCGCUUCCACCAUGGGCUGGAGAAUAUGGGGGGUGGAAGAUGGAAAAGACCAUUGACUACUUCUUGGAAUUUACCAGGCUUGUCGUUGACUCUGUAUCAGAUGUUGUGGACUACUGGGUAACAUUCAAUGAGCCUCAUGUGUUCUGUAUGCUCACUUAUUGUGCUGGUGCUUGGCCUGGUGGUAAUCCUGAUAUGCUGGAGGUUGCUACGUCUGCUUUACCCACUGGUGUUUUCAAUCAAGCCAUGCACUGGAUGGCAAUUGCACACUCAAAGGCCUACGAUUACAUCCAUGAAAGGAGAGGAUCGGGAACGCUAGUGGGAGUCGCACACCAUGUCUCAUUUAUGCGUCCAUAUGGACUUUUUGACAUUGCUGCUGUCUCAGUUGCUAAUUCCUUGACUCUUUAUCCUUAUCUGGAUGCUAUUUCUGAGAAGCUGGAUUAUAUUGGGAUAAAUUACUAUGGACAGGAAGUUGUAUGUGGUGCUGGACUGAAGCUUGUGGAAACUGAUGAGUACAGUGAAUCGGGCCGGGGGGUUUAUCCUGAUGGCUUGUAUAGGGUUUUGCUUCAAUUCCAUGAAAGAUACAAACAUCUUAAUGUGCCUUUCAUAAUCUCGGAGAAUGGUGUUUCUGAUGGAACAGAUGUAAUUAGACGACCAUAUAUGUUGGAACAUCUGUUGGCAGUUUUUGCGGCCACUCUAGCAGGUGUCCCAAUACUUGGUUACUUGUUUUGGACAAUUUCUGAUAACUGGGAGUGGGCUGAUGGCUAUGGUCCGAAAUUUGGACUUGUAGCAGUUGACCGUUCCAACAACCUUGCCAGGAUUCCACGCCCUUCAUACCAUCUGUUUUCCAAGGUUGUCACAUCAGGUAAAAUCACACGGCAGGAUAGAGAGAAUGCUUGGAAUGAACUUCAAAUUGCAGUAAAAGAGAAAAAAACAAGACCAUUUUAUCGCUCUGUGAACAAACAUGGUUUAAUGUAUGCAGGAGGUCUUGAUGAGCCUAUAUGGCGACCAUAUAUUGAACGUGAUUGGCGGUUUGGACACUAUGAAAUGGAAGGUCUACAAGAUCCAUUGAGCCGAAUUUCACGAUUCAUUCUCCGGCCCUUCUCCAUCAAGAAGAAAUCUAAAUCCAAGACAGUGAAUGAGGAAGCCAGUCUUGAGCCUCUAAUGCAGAGCCUUUGAUGCUCCUGCAAGAAAUUAUUGUGAAAAUUCCAUCAAAUUUCUUCCGGUGAAGUUGGAGCAAGGAAUGAGACUUGGUGAAUUUACUGUUCUUCUAGUCACUGCUGGAAAGAUGUGGUUCAAGAUAUAGUCAGAGAUGUCCCUGGAUGGAGGGGUAACAUGAUGAUAUUCAUAUUCUGUCAGAUUGUAUAUAGCUUUGAAGUGCGAGUAUCAACUCUGUAUCUUGCAUUGUUAUUCGGCAUCAGAAAAAAUCAACUGUAAUUUACUCGCGGAUUGAUGGAUCGUCUAUUCAACGCUGUAACAUCUAAUGCUUACUUAUAUCCGGAAAGUGUUGACAGCCUUCUUAGUUUUUUUUUUUUU